RNAcentral lists this transfer RNA (21 nucleotides) under Fissurella crassa. RNAcentral describes it as "partial tRNA-Leu". The record is from RNAcentral. Lineage: Eukaryota; Metazoa; Mollusca; Gastropoda; Lepetellida; Fissurellidae. RNAcentral also lists the same sequence under 5 other names.
UUGUUGUAGCUCUCCUUAGUA